CCGCCCCGGCCCCGGCCCCGCCUCGGCCCCGCCCCCGGCCCCGGCCCUGGCCCCGCCCCCAGCCCCGGCCCUGGUCCCACCCCCAGCCCCUCGCUCAGGCUUCGGGAGUUGUCGGCUGCGCGCAGCGCGGGCUCUCCUGCCACUUCCCCUCCCCCCAUCCCGGCCGUGGCCUCGCGCAGUCCGCGGGCGUCGCUUCUGCAGGUCGGUCCCCAGGCUGCUGUGGUCCGCAGCAGUCCCGGGACGCUUUGGCACUCCGCGCGGAGGUGGGAAGAGCAAGGCCCAGAGGAACUUGCCCAAGAGGUGGCAGUGAGCCGAUGGUGCCACGCACCCUGCUAACGCCCUUUAACUCACACUCCUGUUGGAUCCUCAGCCUACAGAUGAAGACAUGGACUGUGAGGGGCCACGGGUCCUCCCCGGGUGACUCGGCUGGCUAUGGAGCUUGGCCCCAGGACAGCGUCCCCACUGUCGCUUCACCCUGCUGCUCCUCCCAGGCCACCUGUACCCUUCCCUGCCCCUCAGAGAGGAUCUCCCAGUCAGGAGUCAGGAUGGAGCCAGAACGGCUGGAUGCAGCAGAGGCGGACCCCCGCAUCAGACCUCACACCAGCCUGCAGUCCUGGGACCAGCAGUCCUCACAAGACCACCACUGCUCUCGGUGCUGCAUCUACCCCACCUCCGUGUACCCAGGAAGGGGGAAGCAUCAUCAUCCAAGCUGGCUGCUGGCCUAGCAAACGCUGUUGUUAUCACCACGGGAAUAGCAAACCUGUAAAACAAGAACCAACCACUAUGAAAAAGGAGCAUUCAGAGAACAGGAAAGAACAUUCGAAAACGUAAGCAUUCACAGUAAUCAUGAAAAUCCAACCAAGACUGAAUAGCAGAAUGGACACACCUGAGAACCAAAUCAAAGCGACAGACGGAAAUUAUGAGAGAAAAAUGCCAGAGCCACGGUUCAAUGGAAGGAAUUGAAUUCACAUGCAGAAACGAAGAUGGAUCAAAAUCACCUUCCCAGUGAAAUCCGGCCCCUCCUCGCUCAGGCAGAGAGAUGUUGAUGGAUAACAGGGAGCUG
RNAcentral lists this long non-coding RNA (1063 nucleotides) under Felis catus (domestic cat). RNAcentral describes it as "lncRNA (ENSFCAG00000045975.2)". The record is from RNAcentral. Lineage: Eukaryota; Metazoa; Chordata; Mammalia; Carnivora; Felidae.